AUGAAGAAAGAUAAGGACAGUUCAACUAUAGUAGCGAAUAUAUGCUCAUUAUUUGCGAGUAUACAAAGGGUGACAAGCAAAAAAAAUUUGCUAAAUGAUUUAUCUAAAUUAUUUAUUUUAUUAUAUAAUGAAAAAUCAAAAAGAAAUUUGUUAUAUGAUUGUUAUAAGGAUAAGAAUAUUAAUUUUGAAGAUGAUGAGCAUAAAUUAAAUCGUAUUUUUAAAAAAGAUUGUGUAAUUAUUAAAACCCGUAAGAAUAACACGAAUUAUACAAAAUAUGAAGAAUGGUUAAAUGAGUGUUUUGAUAAGUUUUUAAAUUUACUGUUUCAGUUAAUAAAUAAUGAUGAUGAAGUAUAUGUAAAAAAAGGUUUAUUUCUUUUGUUUAGUAGUUUACAAAUGGAGUCUACGAUAUAUGAACGUGUAGCCAAAAAAAUGGAUGAUUCUAUAAAUUUUACAAAUAAUCAAUAUGUUACUACAAACGACUAUUUUAACAAUAACAACGAUUAUAAUAGUAUUAACAGUUAUUGUGAUUACAUGCGAGGUGGGUACAAUAAUAAUAUUAGUAGUAGUAAUAAUAACAUUAGUAGUAGUAAUAAUAAUAUUAGUAGUAGUAGUAAUAAUAACAUUAACAAUAAUAGUAAUAACAAUAAAAAUAUUGCGUUCCCCAUUAAAUUAUAUAGAAAAAUUGUUUUCCAUUUUUUAAACAUGCCACAAAUGAAAUUAAGUGUUAUAAAAUAUAUCUGUAAAAAAUACAUAUGCUAUUAUUUCGAUUUAAAUUAUUUUUGUUUAUCACUUUUUAAACACUUUUUUAAAAAUAUAAAAAGUAAAAGUGUUAAUAAUGCUGUUGACCAUUUUAACAAUUUCAAUGUUGUAACUGAGGAAGUAAGAAUAGGUAGUACAACUGACAAAGACAAAUCACCAACAGAUGAUAAUACAACAAAAAAUCAAAUGUAUUCAAAUUUAUUCAUGUUAUGUAUGUUAAUUAAUUCAAUUAAGCCAGAGAAAAAAGUACAAAGGUUUCAUAUUAAAAAAAAAAAUUUUAUAAAAAAAGAAAAAAUUGAUAGUAUGAAUAUUUAUUUUGAUGAAGAAGAAAGAGAAAUGAUAAAAAAACGAAAAUAUAUAGAAAGGAAAAAUAGACAAAAUAAAAAAAAAAAUGAAAAUAUUACGUAA
RNAcentral lists this long non-coding RNA (1167 nucleotides) under Piliocolobus tephrosceles (Ugandan red Colobus). Its description in RNAcentral is "lncRNA (ENSPTEG00000000912.1)". The record is from RNAcentral. Lineage: Eukaryota; Metazoa; Chordata; Mammalia; Primates; Cercopithecidae.